AUCUAAACCCUAUUGCAGCGGCAUCCCCAAAUUUCAAUUUGGGAUAUAGCGGAAAGAGGGACCGAAC
Molecule: small RNA, 67 nt
Filed under: Pedobacter zeae
Lineage: Bacteria; Pseudomonadati; Bacteroidota; Sphingobacteriia; Sphingobacteriales; Sphingobacteriaceae
Description: Flavo-1 RNA
Rfam family: Flavo-1 RNA
Source: RNAcentral